Molecule: long non-coding RNA, 24741 nt
Filed under: Triticum aestivum (bread wheat)
Lineage: Eukaryota; Viridiplantae; Streptophyta; Magnoliopsida; Poales; Poaceae
Description: long non-coding RNA (TAES_LNC020546)
Source: RNAcentral
CCUGGAAGAGGAACCAGACCGUCUCCCUCCGCCGCUACCGUUAAGCUUACGUGGUGUUAUGUCCUGUGGAACCUGUCCUAUGCUGUCCUAUGCUGGAGUCUUUUCCACCGUCAAAUUUUGCUACCUUUCUGUGGCUGAACGUCCAGGCAUGCCUGUUGAACUAUUUGCUAUGUGCCUGUGUUAUGUGAAAUUUGAAUGAUUUAAGUAGUCCUUGAUGUGUGCUGAUUAUUGUUUUAAAUGCUUUGAUGUUUUUUGAUGUCCUUUUCUUAAGUUAUCGGUGUGCAUAUAUUAUGGCUCCAUAAAAUGUCAAAAUUUGAAGCUCUGCUUAUGUAUCCUUUUUGGUUUUUUCAUGAGCCUUUUGUUACCCAUCAAAUCGGGAAAUACUUCUUUCGUCCUUCAAAGAGUGUAUUUUCAACUUUCUUGAGAAGUCAAUUUUUUUCAUAUUUGACUGUAUUUAUAUAAUAAUAUAUCAAUAUUUAUGCCGUCAAAUUAGUAGCGUUUGGUAAUGAUAUAAUAUUUUCAUUAUAUACCUAUUUGAUUUCAUAAAUAUUGAUAUAUUUUUGCACAAACAUAUUAAACUUUUAAAUAAUUUUACUCUUUAACAAAGUUGGAGAUACACUUUUUUAAGGACGGAGAGCAUCUAAUCUCUCCUCCUGAUUUUAAAUGAAGGGUGGUACGUAUCAUUCAUGGGUCAGACCUGAUCUGAUAGAUUUUUUUUUCCAAUAGAGGAAUAGCCACUGGCAACGUCUUUCAGACAUAGACGAUGAGCGGGAAGGUGGAGGCGUGAUACUCUUGGGGUUUUGUGAUUCUUGUCGCUUCUCACAAAUAAAGCUUAUAGUGGAGGUCGGUUAGUGGCAUAAAAAUGAUGUAAUUGUUAGUAAAAUUUAAUAAUGAUGAAAAAAUUCACAAAUUUACAAUGUAAUAACUAAACUGAUACUCCUUAAGGUCUAAUACAUUUUUUGAGGUUAACUUAGAUCAAAUGUUAAAGCAACAAUAUAUGACAUGCAACUUACACAAAGCACACCGUCAAAUUCGUAUGUGAAAGAAGAUUUUAAUGAUAUAAUUUUUACAUUAAUUAUUAAUCUUGUCAAUAGUCAAAAAUCGUUUUGAAAAACGCAUUAGGCCUAGAUGGAAGGAGAGAGUAGAAGAUAUAAUACACGAAAAUACACACAUAAAUGAGUCGUGCAACCAAGUUAAUUCUUUUCGGUGAGCAGCGUACAAUAAAGGAAAAAAAAUGCAAUUCGGCUCUCGGGUCACACAUGCCUCGUUAUUUGAGCCUUGCCUGGUGGCGCGCCUGCCACGUGCGGAGGCGGCAGCCCCUGCCGCCAUUGGACCAGGCGCCGCGUAACAAAUUUUCGGCCGAGUGCGGGAGCUGAAACGGAACGGGAGAUAGGAGGUGGCCCCUGUCGCCUUAGGGAGCGGUGACACCUUCUUUUUGGCCUGACAGAUGACUAGACAGCGCACGACACCUCUUCUGCAUAUAUAAAAUCUUCCUCUAAUAAUAAACGAUUGCUUCUGGUCGUCCGUCGUCGCCGUUUUUGCAAAAACGCCCCUGUAUUUCUUUGAAUUCAACCCGCGGUCCUUUUUAAAGUGGAAAAAACGUUUCGACCCAGAUCCAGCCCGCCGAGGCCUGAGUGCCGCCGCUCCCGUACGCCACCACCACCAGCGCCCGCAGAGCGCCCGACCCUCCUCCUCCCCGGCCUCCCUCGCGCAUCGUCCGACAAUCGGCGCCGGCGACUCCCAGGUCACGCCGCCGCUCCCCUUCCUUCUCUCUCUCUCUCUCUUUCUCUCUCUCUCUCUAAUCUCCUUUUCUCUCCUUCUCUCCAGGAGCUCAGCGCCAGCGCCAAUGCCCAGUCCUCGAGCUCACCCUGGAGGUUCGAACGCCGCCACGGGACCUCCACCUGCCAGAUCCGGCGCCUCCCUCCCGGACCCGCGCGCCCUCCACCUCCUCUACCCGAUCCGGCGCCGCCCAAUCCGCCGCGACCUCCACCAUGGCGCCCGCCGAGAUCCUGCGCAUCCUCUCCGUCGACGCGCCGUCGUCGCAUGAGGACUUGGACGCCUGGCUCGCUGACACCUCCCCCAAAUCCUACAGGAGGUUCAGGUACAACAUCUACUUGAUUAAUUUCUGAAUUCCACUUCUUUUUUGUGCAUGUAUAUGCAAUUGAGGGAGACUCUUAUUGAUGAUCUUGUGUGCCAAUCUUACAUGGAUAGUUUGAAUGUGUGAUACGUUGUGUGAUCCAGCGACAAAAUUCAGUUAGUGCUGCUAUGUAUCAGUCAAGGGAAUGGUAUGGAGAAGAGAGAAUGAGGACAAUACAAAGUGAGUGGGAGAGCGUGAGUGAUUAAUGAAUGGGUAUAGGCUUUGUACUAUGACACACAGUACAUUGUACAAAUAAGGAAGUGGGUAGUGUGCUACCUUUGUUGUGAAAAGGGAAGAUUUCUUUCCUGACUCAUGUAGUACCAGUACUGGUGGAUCGAUGAUCUAAGGAUCAUAUGAAUGAUUAAUGGAGGAUAACAUAUUAUUGUUGUAGAGGUGUCGACAACUGCAGUAUUUGAAUCUAAACAUGUGAUACAUGAAAGAGCUAUUUUGAGUUAGAUUAUUAUUUGGUUUUGGGUAUAGAGUAAUUAUUUCGGUACAUGGCUUAUGUCUCAGUAUGUACUAUGUAGCUUAGUCCCAGCAAAAGUGUGAAACCUUGUGUAUUUGUUCUGCAAUCCUGGUAAUGAUUUUUUGCAGAUGUAAUAAUGCAGGUGAAUUUGGGCUUGCCGAAAUAUAGGUGUGUGUUGUGUGCUGCAGCAGGUUUGGAUGCGGCAAUCAAGACCAUGGCUCGGCUUGGGGAGCAUCAAGCAUCGACUGAUGUGAGGAGGCCAAGGUGAGCUUCUCCGAUCCAAUCCCAAUCUGAUUCAGGAGAGCAUAUUCUUAAGGUUGUCAUUGCACUUUCUGGAUAGGUUAAACUAUUGAUAAGUUCAAAUUCUGACUAGGACAACAAAGCCUCAUGGGCCAGAGUAUUCAGGAGGACACCAAUCCAUCCAAACCCAUGGUGUUUGAGGCAGCUUGAAAGAAGGUUUGCUGCAGGGAAGAGAUAGAAAGAGCGAAAUAGAGAAGGCAGGGACGUGAUCUGUUGUAGGUAUGAAGUGAAGUAAUCCUUCCAUUCCUGUUGUUUGUUUUCGCAACUCUGUUUUGCACAACUCUGUUUGCAGUGCGUGCAGUAACUGAUCGAUUGCGUUUUGAGGGUUUUAGGUGUUGAAUAUGACCGGACCAUUAAAAUAAAAGUUGUAUAUAUCUUUUCAAGACCUUUCGAACGAAUAUUUAUUUGCAAUUUUUCGUCAGAUUUCCUAGGAGAUAUGCCUAUCUGAAGUUACUAUUAGUCUUCGUCAGACUGCAGUUUCAGGCAUGACUUCCUAUUUUGCGCGGCGUUUUAAAGUAACUUCAAGGCUGAAUCUGUCCAUGGGUCUAUGGAUGUAUUUUCAGUAUUUGGUUUGAAAUUUCCAAGGAUAAUUUAUUCUGAAAUUUUCGCUGAGUAUAGUGAAAGAUACAACCUUCUGAAUGCUGUUAUCCAUUGCGAGUUCUGUUCUGAACUUCUGACAGUUACUGUUUUCUGUAUUGAGAGGUUGUUUUCUGUAUAGAGGAAUUUUGCUAUGGGACUGCACUUACUUGCCCCCUUGAUUUUUCAGUGUACUAGGCAAAAAAUAUUGUACUGAAUGAUCUGCACUAAUGUGAAUCCCUGAAAGUAGAUUGCAGUUAGAAUUAGAAACCAUUUUUUGGUUUGUUUCCUGAAAUUAAUAGCUGUUGUGAAUUGUACAGGGUUCGUUGUUCCCAUUUCUUAUAGUUUGUAAUUGUAUUCCUACAGUCUAAGAAGACCGUCGCAUGGAUUGAUUGGUUGGGAGGAGAACCGCAACAAGAUAUGCUGCUGAAAAAUCAACAUGGAGUUUGAGUCAGGUUGAUGCAGUGCAUUAACCUCGGCUGAUCUAUCUUGUUCUGAAUUCCACUGGUGGUAACUUCACUCGUAAAUUUCUGCUGCUCAGGUCUUUGACUUUUUUUUGCUGCUCAGAUAUUGGACUUGCGAUUGAAGAACCUGCUGAAGUAUUGAGUGGGCUACUUGUAGCGGAAGAUGCAGCAAGCGAUUGAACCCCCACACUCGCAGCGUUGGACCGAUCAAUGAGUAGUUAUGUAGGUUCUUGGUACACUUGCUGCACCUACUGAAGCGUACAAUGGAUAACGACGAUCCAUUUGCAGCGACGGGUGCACAUCGUCGGUGGUCGCAUGGACAACUCCGGCGAUUGCCGCGGUGAUACCAUGCAGAGAGGUGUUAUGAAGAUCGUAGACUGUAUGAAGGAGGCGUACAUGACUAGCUGACUCCUUUUUCCGGUGGCUGUUCAGGUUUGAUCGGAUCAGGGUCAGCAGAUCGGCGGCGGCAUCCCACAGGAUAACUCGACGGGUGUGGCCAUCACAACGACAUCACGGUAUCGUUGGCCAACCUGUUACAUUAUUAAAAUCAGGUAUGUCCCACAAUCUUUUGCUGUGUCUGAUCUGCAUGCUGACGAACGGUGAAUGAUACCAUGACCAGGCGAGGAAGAGCGCGCCAAUGGAUUUUCCUACCCAGGACUUUGUACUGUACUAAUAUUCAGAAAAAUGUUUGUUUGUAUCUCUUUCAGGUCCGUGCUAGCUAUGUGCAAAAGGAUGAUGCCCAUAUGGACUAAAUUUCUCUCUUUUGUAGGUUAAAAAAAUGGUCUUCUAUGGGUUACAAACCAAUGCUUGCUUGCGUACACUCUGGUGCUCCAGUUAAAGAUGGAAAGUUAUAAUGUAAUGUGAUGAGUAACCAUCAGUUGGUGAAUAGAUUCUCUUAUGAAUACUACUGUAUCUCUCUCAUCUCUUAUAUUGAGUGAACGAACAAAGUGUACAAAUGAAGUCACGGUGAGCUGAGCAGAGCAGCUGGUGAUCAGAUGAUUUCGGGUCCCUGCUAGCUAUUUCUGAUUUUGAAGCUAUUCCUCUAGGACAAAUGAUUACACUACAUUACAAGUUGAAAAAGUGUGCAAAGUGGAAGUUAGUACUAAAGCGAAUUGCUCUUUUUGAUCAGCCAACAAAUUUCAGUCAUAAUAUGUGCCAUUCAAGUGGAAACACAAACUAGGACGUGCAAGAUUUGUUUCUCCCGUUGCAACGCAUGGGCCUUUUUUGCUAGUAUUUAAAAGAGAGAGCAAUGCAUCUAUGAGACGACUGGGUGUACAUGAACUAUAAAUCUGGCUAGCUUUUGUACGUGCAUAUCGCCCUCUUUUGAUGAUUAUUUCUCUUAAAUCAAUGUAUAAAACUUCAAUCUAUUUGCAUCAUUGUAUUCUCCGCGAUAAACUCUACAAAUAGAGUCUAAUGUUGAUUAUGUUCUUUCUUUCAUAAAUUUCUAGCAACACGUGGGACCCAUACGUCAUAGAGUAGCUCAUUGCUAAACCAAUGCAUGUGUCAACGCGGGUGACCGCCGAAACACACGCAGGUGACCGUGACGACAGGCGCGCCAGCCAACACGUGGGACCCGUCGGACGCGCAACAGCAGCAGCACCUGCCGCCUACGAAGCACCGAUACGGCAGAUUUCUGUGUAUCGCCGUUCCGUACGCCACCGAUACUCCGAUACGCCGGAUACGGCUUAGAUACGGUAUCCCAGAAGUAUCCCCUUUUUUGAUUUAAAAAAAAAGAAAAAAAUGCCGAUACGGCUGUGAAACGCGUGAGACACGGCUGGGACACGCCGAUGCAGCCCCGAGCGAGCCCAAUAGCCCACGAUGGGUCGACUAAACCUAGCUCUCUCUCUCGCACGGUCGCACCCUGUCGUCACCACUCACCAGGAAGGGAUCGAGGGCGGCGCCGCCGCCCCCGCCACAUCAAUCAGUUGCUCUCCGCCGCCGCCGCCGCUGCCGCCUGGAGUGGCUCGCCGUCGCCGCCGCCGUCGCCGCCUGGAGUGGCUCGCCCCAGCCCCUUCCUGGAAUCCCAUCUCUGCCUCUCUUCUGCUCUUCUCCGCCGGCGACACAAGGUAAACACCCGAGCCCCAAUGUGUUGUACUGAUGUAUGGUUGAUCCAUUGAUGUAUGCUUGGGGCUUGUCUAUGCUGGCUUUAUGUAUCGUUGAUCCAUUUAUGUAGGCAGAAAUAGCACUCUCAUAGUCAUAGGCUCAUAGCUCAUAGAUGUAUACUCUAGUAAUAGUUCGAUCUGUUCCUGCUAGCUAAUGUUGGAUAAAAUUGCUUGUUGAUGUUGCUAGCUUGCUGCUUAUUGAUGUUUGUGGGGUAAAAUUACUUGCUGAUGUUGCUGUUGCCUCCUGUUGCCAGGGAAGAAGAUACAAGUAUACACCAUGUCAUCUGCGGGCAGUAGCAUGGCAGCAAGCCAAUCUUCAGUCGGUGGUACUGCGAGCAACAGCAUUGAGGUUGAUGGUGCAGGGGAAGAGGUUGAGAAUGGUGUUGUCAAUCCGAAAUACCCAUUCUGGAAGCAUGCUACAAAACUAGCAAGAGACCCAUCAAGUCGAGGAGGCAACACACGUUUCUGUUGCCACUUCUGUAUGAAUGAUUUCCCAGGCAGCUAUACAAGAAUAAGAGCGCAUCUUCUUAAGAUAUUAAAUGUAGGCAUAAACUCUUGUACCAAGAUAACACAACCUCUCUUUGAGGAACUUCGCAAGGAAGAUAAGGCAACUGCUCUACUUAUUUCACAUAGUAAAACUAGGAACACACUUCCUCUACCACCCUUUGAGGAAUCUGGUUCAUUGGCAUCAUCAAGGAAAAGAAAGGCAACAGGAAAGCAAUCUGGGAUUUCAGAAAGUUUUCAUGCAGAGGUUCGACAACAAGCUGAUGCUCUCAUUGCAAGAAUGUGUUGGAAAUAUGCCCUAGAGGCAAUAAUAAAAGCAUUAUUAUUAUAUUUCCUUGUUCAUGAUGAUUGUCUUUAUUCAUGCUAUAAUUGUGUUAUCCGGAAAUCGUAAUACAUGUGUGAAUAACAGACACCAACAUGUCCCUAGUGAGCCUCUAGUUGACUAGCUCGUUGAUCAACAGAUAGUCAUGGUUUCCUGACUAUGGACACUGGAUGUCAUUGAUAACGAGAUCACAUCAUUGGGAGAAUGAUGUGAUGGACAAGACCCAAUCCUAAACAUAGCACAAGAUCGUAUAGUUCGUUUGCUAGAGUUUUCCAAUGUCAAAGUAUCUUUUCCUUAGACCAUGAGAUCGUGUAACUCCCGGAUACCGUAGGAGUGCUUUGGGUAUGCCAAACGUCACAACGUAACUGGGUGACUAUAAAGGUAGACUACGGGUAUCUCCGAAAGUGUCUGUUGGGUGACAUGGAUCAAGACUGGGAUUUGUCACUCCGUAUGACGGAGAGGUAUCACUGGGCCCACUCGGUAAUGCAUCAUCAUAAUGAGCUCAGAGUGACCAAGUGUCUGGUCACGUGAUCAUGCAUUACUGUACGAGUAAAGUGACUUGCCGGUAACGAGAUUGAACGAGGUAUUGGGAUACCGACGAUCGAAUCUCGGGCAAGUAACAUAUCGAUAGACAAAGGGAAUAGCGUACGGGGUUGAUUGAAUCCUCGACAUCGUGGUUCAUCCGAUGAGAUCAUCGUGGAGCAUGUGGGAGCCAACAUGGGUAUCCAGAUCCCGCUGUUGAUUAUUGACCGGAGAGUCGUCUCGGUCAUGUCUGCUUGUCUCCCGAACCUGUAGGGUCUACACACUUAAGGUUCGGUGACGCUAGGGUUAUGAAGAUAUGUAUAUGCAGAAACCCGAAUGUUGUUCGGAGUCCCGGAUGAGAUCCCGGACGUCACGAGGAGUUCCGAAAUGGUCCGGAGGUAAAGAAUUAUAUAUAGGAAGUGCUAUUUCGGGCAUCGGGACAAAUUUCGGGGUUAUCGGUAUUGUACCGGGACCACCGGAAGGGUCCCGGGGGUCCACCGGGUGGGGCCACCUGUCCCAGGGGGCCACAUGGGCUGUAGGGGCUGCGCCUUGGCCUUCAUGGGCCAAGGGCACCAGCCCCACAAGGCCCAUGCGCCUAGGGUUUUCCCCUAGGAGGAGUCCUAGUGGUGGAAGGCACCCCUAGGUGCCUUGGGGAGGAGGGAAACCUCCCCUUGGCCGCCGCCCCCCCUAGUAGAUGCCAUCUACUAGGGCCGGUGCCCCCCUGGCACCCCUAUAUAUAGUGGGGGAGAGGAGGGACUUCACACACCAGCCCCUGGCGCCUCCAUCUCCCCCCGUUACGUCUCUCCCUCGUAGUCUCGGCGAAGCCCUGCUGCUGUGACGCCCUGCAUCCACCACCACGCCGUCGUGCUGCUGGAUCUUCAUCAACCUCUCCUUCCCCCUUGCUGGAUCAAGAAGGAGGAGACGUCUUCUGUCCCGUACGUGUGUUGAACGCGGAGGUGCCGUCCGUUCGGCGCUGGUCAUCGGUGAUUUGGAUCACGUCGAGUACGACUACAUCAUCACCGUUCUUUUGAACGCUUCCGUGCGCGAUCUACAAAGGUAUGUAGAUGCAUCUAAUCACUCGUUGCUAGAUGAACUCCUAGAUGAUCUUGGCGAAACGAGUAGGAAAUUUUUUGUUUUCUGCAACGUUCCCCAACAGUGGCAUCAUGAGCUGGGUCUAUGCGUAGUUCUUCUUGCGCGAGUAGAACACAAUUUGUUGUGGGCGUAGAUUUGUCAACUUUCUUGCCGUUACUAGUCCUUUCUUGCUUCAGCGGUAUUGUGGGAUGAAGCGGCCCGGACCAACCUUACACGUACGCUUACGUGAGACCGGUUCCACCGACUAACAUGCACUAGUUGCAUAAGGUGGCUGGCGGGUGUCUGUCUCUCCUACUUUAGUUGGAGCGGAAUCGAUGAACAGGGUCCUUAUGAAGGGUAAAUAGAAGUUGACAAAUCACGUUGUGGCUUUAACGUAGGUAAGAAAACGUUCUUGCUAGAACCCUAAUUCAGCCACGUAAAACUUGCAACAACAAUUAGAGGACGUCUAACUUGUUUUUGCAGCAAGUGGUUUGUGAUAUGAUAUGGCCAAAGUUGUGAUGAAUGAUGAAUGAUCUAUAUGUGAUGUAUGAGAUGUUCAUGCUAUUGUAAUAGGAAUCACGACUUGCAUGUCGAUGAGUAUGACGACCGGCAGGAGCCAUAGGAGUUGUCUUUAUUCUUUUAUAUGACCUGCGUGUCAUCUAGAAACGCCAUGUAAAUUACUUUACUUUAUUGCUAAACGCGUUAGCCAUAGUAGUAGAAGUAAUAGUUGGCGAGCAACUUCAUGGAGACACGAUGAUGGAGAUCAUGAUGAUGGAGAUCAUGGUGUCAAGCCGGUGACAAGAUGAUCAUGGAGCCCCAAGAUGGAGAUCAAAGGAGCUAUGUGAUAUUGGCCAUAUCAUGUCACGUUUAUUAUUUGAUUGCAUGUGAUGUUUAUCAUGUUUUGCAUCUUGUUUACUUAGAACGACGGUAGUAAAUAAGAUGAUCCCUCACAAUAAAUUCAAGAAGUGUUCCCCCUAACUGUGCACCGUUGCGACAGUUCGCUGUUUCAAAACACCACGUGAUGAUCGGGUGUUUUAUUCAGACGUUCACAUACAAUGGGUGUAAGACAGAUUUACACAUGCAAACACUUAGGUUGACUUGACGAGCCUAGCAUGUACAGACAUGGCCUCGGAACACAGAAGACCGAAAGGUCGAGCAUGAGUCGUAUAGAAGAUACGAUCAACAUGAAGAUGUUCACCGAUGUUGACUAGUCUGUCUCACGUGAUGAUCGGACACGGUCUAGUUUAACUCGGAUCAUGUAAUACUUAGAUGGAUAGAGGGAUGUCUAAUCUAAGUGGGAGUUCACUAAUAAUUUGAUUAGUUGAACUUAAUUAUCAUGAACUUAGUCUAAAAUCUUUGCAAUAUGUCUUGUAGAUUAAAUGGCCAACGUAGUCCUCAACUUCAACGCGUUCCUAGAGAAAACCAAGCUGAAAGACGAUGGCAGCAACUAUACGGACUGGGUCCGGAACCUGAGGAUCAUCCUCAUAGCUGCCAAGAAAGAUUAUGUCCUACAAGCACCGCUUGGUGACGCACCCGUUCUCCCUGCAGAACAAGAUGUUAUGAACGCUUGGCAGGCACGUUUCGAUGACUACUCCCUCGUUCAGUGCGGCAUGCUUUACAGCCUAGAGCCGGGGCUCCAAAAGCGUUUUGAGAGACAUGGAGCAUAUGAGAUGUUUGAAGAGCUGAAAAUGGUUUUCCAAGCUCAUGCCCGGGUCGAGAGAUAUGAAGUCUCCGACAAAUUCUUCAGCUGUAAGAUGGAGGAAAACAGUUCUGUCAGUGAUCACAUACUCACUAUGUCUGGGUUGCAUAACCGCUUGACUCAGCUGGGAGUUAAUCUCCCGGAUGAUGCGGUCAUUGACAGAAUCCUCCAGUCGCUUCCACCAAGCUACAAGAGCUUUGUGAUGAACUUCAAUAUGCAGGGGAUGGAAAAGACCAUUUCUGAAGUAUUUGCUAUGCUGAAAUCAGCAGAGGUAGAAGUCAGGAAGGAACAUCAAGUGUUGAUGGUCAAUAAAACCACUAAGUUCAAGAAAGGCAAGGGUAAAAAGAACUUCAAGAAGGACGGCAAGGAGGUUGCCGCGCCCGGCAAGCAAGCUGCCGGGAAGAAGCCAAAGAAUGGACCCAAGCCCGAGACUGAGUGCUUUUAUUGCAAGGGAAGCAGUCACUGGAAGCGGAACUGCCCUAAGUACUUAGCGGAUAAGAAGGCCGACAAAACAAAAGGUAUAUGUGAUAUACAUGUAAUUGAUGUGUACCUUACUAGUGCCCGUAGUGGCUCCUGGGUAUUUGAUACCGGUGCAGUUGCUCACAUUUGUAACUCAAAGCAGGGGCUGCGGAAUAAGCGGAAACUGGCAAAGGACGAGGUGACGAUGCGCGUCGGGAAUGGUUCCAAGGUCAAUGUGAUCGCCGUCGGCACGCUACCUCUGCAUCUCCCUUCGGGAUUAGUUUUAAACCUUAAUAAUUGUUAUUUAGUGCCAGCUUUGAGCAUGAACAUUGUAUCGGGAUCUCGUUUAAUUCGAGAUGGCUACUCUUUUAAAUCUGAGAAUAAUGGUUGUUCCAUUUUUAUGAGAGAUAUGUUUUAUGGUCAUGCUCCUAUGGUGAAUGGUUUAUUCUUUAUGAAUCUCGAACGUGAUGCUACACAUGUUCAUAAUGUGAGUACCAAAAGAAGUAAGGUUGAUAAUGAUAGUCCCACAUACUUGUGGCACUGCCGCCUUGGUCACAUAGGUGUCAAACGCAUGAAGAAGCUCCAUGCUGAUGGACUUUUAGAGUCUCUUGAUUAUGAAUCAUUUGACACGUGCGAACCAUGCCUUAUGGGUAAAAUGACCAAGACUCCGUUCUUAGGAACAAUGGAGCGAGCAACCGACUUAUUGGAAAUCAUACAUACUGAUGUGUGCGGUCCGAUGAGUGUUGAGGCUCGCGGUGGCUAUCGUUAUGUUCUCACCCUCACUGAUGAUUUAAGUAGGUAUGGGUAUAUCUACUUAAUGAAACACAAGUCUGAAACCUUUGAAAAGUUCAAGGAAUUUCAGAGUGAGGUUGAAAAUCAACGUGAUAGGAAAAUCAAGUUUCUACGAUCAGAUCGUGGAGGAGAAUACUUGAGUCACGAGUUUGGGACACACUUAAGGAAAUGUGGAAUAGUUUCACAACUCACGCCGCCUGGAACACCUCAGCGUAAUGGUGUGUCCGAACGUCGUAAUCGCACUCUGUUAGAUAUGGUGCGAUCUAUGAUGUCUCUUACCGAUUUACCGCUUUCUUUUUGGGGCUAUGCUUUACAGACUGCCGCAUUCACUUUAAAUAGGGCUCCGUCGAAAUCCGUUAAGACGACACCGUAUGAAUUAUGGUUUGGGAAGAAACCUAAGCUGUCGUUUCUAAAAGUUUGGGGAUGCGAUGCUUAUGUCAAGAAACUUCAACCUGAAAAGCUCGAACCCAAAUCGGAAAAAUGCGUCUUAAUAGGGUACCCAAAAGAAACUAUUGGGUACACCUUCUACCUCAGAUCCGAAGGCAAGAUCUUUGUUGCCAAGAAUGGGUCCUUUCUGGAGAAAGAGUUUCUCUCGAAAGAAGUAAGUGGGAGGAAAGUAGAGCUUGAUGAAGUAUUACCUCUUGAACCGGAAAAUGGCGCAACUCAAGAAAAUGUUCCUGAGGUGCCUGCACCGACUAGAGAGGAAGUUAAUGACAAUGAUCAAGAUACUUCUGAUCAAGCCCCUACUAAAAUUCGAAGGUCCACAAGGACACGUUCCGCACCAGAGUGGUACGGCAACCCUGUCUUGGAAAUCAUGCUGUUAGACAACGGUGAACCUUCGAACUAUGAAGAAGCGAUGGCGGGCCCGGAUUCCGACAAAUGGCUAGAAGCCAUGAAAUCCGAGAUAGGAUCCAUGUAUGAAAACAAAGUAUGGACUUUGACUGACUUGCCCGUUGAGCGGCGAGCCAUAGAAAAUAAAUGGAUCUUUAAGAGGAAGACAGACGUGGAUGGUAAUGUGACCAUCUAUAAAGCUCGGCUUGUCGCUAAGGGUUAUCGACAAGUUCAAGGGGUUGACUACGAUGAGACUUUCUCACCGGUAGCGAAGCUGAAGUCCGUCCGAAUCAUGUUAGCAAUUGCCGCAUUCUAUGAUUACGAAAUAUGGCAAAUGGACGUCAAAACGGCAUUCCUUAAUGGUUUCCUUAAGGAAGAAUUGUAUAUGAUGCAGCCAGAAGGUUUUGUCGAUCCUAAGAAUGCUGACAAAGUGUGCAAGCUCCAACGCUCGAUUUAUGGGCUGGUGCAAGCAUCUCGGAGUUGGAACAUUCGCUUUGAUGAGAUGAUCAAAGCGUUUGGGUUUACACAGACUUAUGGAGAAGCCUGCGUUUACAAGAAAGUGAGUGGGAGCUCUGUAGCAUUUCUCAUAUUAUAUGUAGAUGACAUACUGUUGAUGGGAAAUGAUAUAGAACUCUUGGACAGCAUCAAGGCCUACUUGAAUAAAAGUUUUUCAAUGAAGGACCUUGGAGAAGCUGCUUAUAUAUUAGGCAUCAAAAUCUAUAGAGAUAGAUCGAGACGCCUCAUAGGUCUUUCACAAAGCACAUACCUUGAUAAGAUAUUGAAGAAGUUCAAUAUGGAUCAAUCCAAGAAGGGGUUCUUGCCUGUGUUACACGGUAUGAAAUUGAGCUCAGCUCAAUGUCCGACCACGGCAGAAGGUAUAGAAGAGAUGAGCGUCAUCCCCUAUGCCUCAGCCAUAGGUUCUAUUAUGUAUGCCAUGCUGUGCACCAGACCUGAUGUUAACCUUGCCGUCAGUUUGGUAGGAAGGUACCAAAGUAAUCCCGGCAAGGAACACUGGACAGUGGUCAAGAAUAUCCUGAAGUACCUGAAAAGGACUAAGGAAAUAUUUCUCGUUUAUGGAGGUGACGAAGAGCUCGUCGUAAAGGGUUACGUCGACGCUAGCUUCGACACAGAUCUGGAUGACUCUAAGUCACAAACCGGAUACGUGUAUAUUUUGAAUGGUGGGGCAGUAAGCUGGUGCAGUUGCAAGCAAAGCGUCGUGGCGGGAUCUACAUGUGAAGCGGAGUACAUGGCAGCCUCGGAGGCAGCACAUGAAGCAAUAUGGGUGAAGGAGUUCAUCACCGACCUAGGAGUCAUACCCAAUGCGUCGGGGCCGAUCAAGCUCUUCUGUGACAACACUGGAGCUAUUGCACUUGCCAAGGAGCCCAGGUUUCACAAGAAGACAAGGCACAUCAAGCGUCGCUUCAACUCCAUUCGUGAAAAUGUUCAAGAUGGAGACAUAGAGAUUUGUAAAGUACAUACGGACCUGAAUGUAGUAGAUCCGUUGACUAAACCUCUCCCUAGAGCAAAACAUGAUCAACACCAGAAUUCCAUGGGUGUUCGAUUCAUCACAAUGUAACUAGAUUAUUGACUCUAGUGCAAGUGGGAGACUGUUGGAAAUAUGCCCUAGAGGCAAUAAUAAAAGCAUUAUUAUUAUAUUUCCUUGUUCAUGAUGAUUGUCUUUAUUCAUGCUAUAAUUGUGUUAUCCGGAAAUCGUAAUACAUGUGUGAAUAACAGACACCAACAUGUCCCUAGUGAGCCUCUAGUUGACUAGCUCGUUGAUCAACAGAUAGUCAUGGUUUCCUGACUAUGGACACUGGAUGUCAUUGAUAACGAGAUCACAUCAUUGGGAGAAUGAUGUGAUGGACAAGACCCAAUCCUAAACAUAGCACAAGAUCGUAUAGUUCGUUUGCUAGAGUUUUCCAAUGUCAAAGUAUCUUUUCCUUAGACCAUGAGAUCGUGUAACUCCCAGAUACCGUAGGAGUGCUUUGGGUAUGCCAAACGUCACAACGUAACUGGGUGACUAUAAAGGUAGACUACGGGUAUCUCCGAAAGUGUCUGUUGGGUGACAUGGAUCAAGACUGGGAUUUGUCACUCCGUAUGACAGAGAGGUAUCACUGGGCCCACUCGGUAAUGCAUCAUCAUAAUGAGCUCAGAGUGACCAAGUGUCUGGUCACGGGAUCAUGCAUUACGGUACGAGUAAAGUGACUUGCCGGUAACGAGAUUGAACGAGGUAUUGGGAUACCGACGAUCGAAUCUCGGGCAAGUAACAUAUCGAUAGACAAAGGGAAUAGCAUACGGGGUUGAUUGAAUCCUCGACAUCGUGGUUCAUCCGAUGAGAUCAUCGUGGAGCAUGUGGGAGCCAACAUGGGUAUCCAGAUCCCGCUGUUGGUUAUUGACCGGAGAGUCGUCUCGGUCAUGUCUGCUUGUCUCCCGAACCCGUAGGGUCUACACACUUAAGGUUCGGUGACGCUAGGGUUAUGAAGAUAUGUAUAUGCAGAAACCCGAAUGUAGUUCGGAGUCCCGGAUGAGAUCCCGGACGUCACGAGGAGUUCCGGAAUGGUCCGGAGGUAAAGAAUUAUAUAUGGGAAGUGCUAUUUCGGGCAUCGGGACAAAUUUCGGGGUUAUCGGUAUUGUACCGGGACCACCGGAAGGGUCCCGGGGGUCCACCGGGUGGGGCCACCUGUCCCGGGGGGCCACAUGGGCUGUAGGGGGUGCGCCUUGGCCUUCAUGGGCCAAGGGCACCAGCCCCACAAGGCCCAUGCGCCUAGGGUUUUCCCCUAGGAGGAGUCCUAGUGGUGGAAGGCACCCCUAGGUGCCUUGGGGGGAGGGAAACCUCCCCUUGGCCGCCGCCCCCCUAGUAGAUGCCAUCUACUAGGGCCGGGGCCCCCCUGGCACCCCUAUAUAUAGUGGGGGAGAGGAGGGACUUCACACACCAGCCCCUGGCGCCUCCAUCUCCCCCCGUUACGUCUCUCCCUCGUAGUCUCGGCGAAGCCCUGCUGCUGUGACGCCCUGCAUCCACCACCACGCCGUCGUGCUGCUGGAUCUUCAUCAACCUCUCCUUCCCCCUUGCUGGAUCAAGAAGGAGGAGACGUCUCCCGUCCCGUACGUGUGUUGAACGCGGAGGUGCCGUCCGUUCGGCGCUGGUCAUCGGUGAUUUGGAUCACGUCGAGUACGACUACAUCAUCACCGUUCUUUUGAACGCUUCCGUGCGCGAUCUACAAAGGUAUGUAGAUGCAUCUAAUCACUCGUUGCUAGAUGAACUCCUAGAUGAUCUUGGUGAAACGAGUAGGAAAUUUUUUGUUUUCUGCAACGUUCCCCAACAGAAUGUUCAUCACCGGAGGUAUGAAACUUUGCAUUACAAUGUCAAUUAUUGUUGUCUUUUUUUAAGCAUUGUUGUUUACUAGUUAUUUUGUCUAUAGGGGUUCCCUUCAAUCUAGCAAGAAAUCCUUACUAUUGGGAGUCCUACAAUUUUAUCGCAAAAAAUGAAAUGGGUGGCUAUGUGCCUCCUGGAUAUAACGCAUUGAGGACAACCUGUCUUGCAAAAGAGAAGAAACAUGUUGGGAGGAUGCUAGAGCCCCUCAAGUCCACAUGGCCGCUCAAAGGAGUGACUAUUGCGACUGAUGGGUGGGCUGACCCUCAAAGGAGACCAAUUUUGAACUUCAUGGCUGUGACAGAGAGUGGUCCAAUGUUUCUAAAGGCGGUCAACACUGAAGGGGAGGUAAAAACCUAGAUUAACUCGUUUUUUGUCUCUUUUUUUAUAAAUUACUUGCUGAUUGUUCAUUGUCUUCAAUGGUAGACCAAAUCUAAGCAAUUUGUAUUUGAGAGGAUGAAGGAAGUGGUUGAGGAGAUUGGAUCCGAGAAUGUGGUCCAAGUGAUCACGGACAAUGCAUCCAAUGUCAAAGGUGCUGGAUUGAUGAUCCAAGCAAAGUACACCAAUAUUUACUGGACUCCUUGCAUUGUGCACUGCCCCAAUCUUGUGUUGAAGGAGAUAUGUGAUCCAAAGAUGCAUGAUGAAGACUUUGAAGUUCUUAACUUUAUAAAAGAGGUUUCCGAACUAGCUCUCUUUGUCAAGAACUUCAUAAUGACCCAUGGCAUGAGGUUGUCAAUGUUGAAUGAGUUUAGCAAACUUAAGUUUCUUCACAUAGCAUAAACCAGAUUUGCAAGUGUUGUCAUCAUGUUGAAGAGGUUUCUUUUAAUCAAGGAUGCACUCACACUAAUGGUGGUUCAUGCAAAUUGGGCUAAUUAUAGAGAGGAUGAUCCUCCUACAGCUCAAAGGGUGAAGGAACUUAUUUUGAGUGAUGUGUGGUGGGAUAAAAUUGCAUACAUUGUCUCUUUCACCUCACCCAUAUAUGCAAUGAUAAGGCUGACCGACACGGACAAACCAUCUCUCCAUUUGAUAUAUGAGAUGUGGGACGACAUGAUGGAGAAGGUGAGUGAUUCUUUUAGCUUUCUUCAUCUUCAUUUGGGAAUUAUUGAUGUGUAUUGCUUGCUGAUUUUAAUUGUCGCCAUGUUCAUAGGUGAGAGUUCCUAUUUAUCGUUAUGAAAAGAAGGAGCUCAAUGAAGAUUGUGCUCUCUAUAUCGUUAUCAAGAAAAAACUUCUAAAACGUUGGAAGAAGAGUAGUACCCCCCUCCAUUGUUUGGCUCACUCGUUGAAUCCGAGGUUUGCUCUUUAUAUAUGUUUGUCAUUUGACAAUCUCAAGUUCUCAACUUUAAAAGGUUUGCUGAUUUUAUGUUGUCAUGUUAAUAGGUACUACAGUCCAAAUUGGGUUGGGGCAGUCCGUGGCCGUGUUACCCCCCUUGAUGAUAAUGAGAUUUUUCAAAUGAGAAACCAGUGUUUGCAGAAGUUAUUUCCAGAUCCAAAUGACCACAAGACCGUCAAGAAAGAAUUUGCGGAUUUUGCUCUAAUGAUGAAUGAUUUCCAGAAUGCAGAUUCAAUUGAAGAUAGAGAUGAUUUUGAACCAAAGCAAUGGUGGGGCACUCAUGGAGGAAGCACAAAGUUCUUGAAAAGUUUGGCAUUGAAGUUACUUGGUCAGCCUUCAUCUUCGUCUUGUUGUGAAAGGAAUUGGAGUUCAUAUUCCUUCAUCCAUAGUUCCGAGAGAAACAAGCUCACUCCUGAACGUGCUGAGGAUUUAGUGUUCUCACAUAACAACUUGCGUUUGCUUUCAAGACAAUCUGAGGCUUAUCAUGCUGGGCCAAGCCGGAUGUGGGAUGUGGGUGGAGAUGGGGUUGAGAGCUUCACUGGUGUUGGCAUCCUUGAAGGUGCUAACCUGACACUUGAUGAACCUGAAUUGGAGGCUGAGAUCAUGAAUGCUCUCACUUGAGUUCCUGUUGUUAUGUUGUAAUGUAUUUUCGACUAUGGGUCUAUGGUCACAUGGCCUUGUAUCUUCCUGUUCCUGUUGUUAUGUUGUAAUGUACUAUUUGACUGUGGAUUCCUUUUUAUCAUGUCAACUUAGUGAACUUUUGCAUUAUUUUGCUAUGGUCAUUGAGAAUUUAGAACUGAAACUUGCUGGAAUUUGUUGGAGGCUGAGAUCAAGGAAGUUUAUAUUAAUUUCAUCAUUUGGUAUGCUACUGCCCCAAGCCAACUUGUUUACAACUUCACUUUUCAUGCUUAUCUAUUUCAUAUUAUCAAGUCUAAUAUCAUGUGAUGUAUUUUCUAUUUUGCAAUCACCAUGAGGAGUUGAGGGCCUGGAUGAUCAUUCAAGAGUGAAAAGAAAGGAGGCAUGGAAACAAUCAGGCAACCAAUAGGCGGUAUUUUGAUCCCAUCUCACACAUUUUAUUAUGUGUGUUUUAAUUACAUGUCAUUUUAUUAUAGUUUAUAUAUGCUUGCCGUAUAGCCGUAUUGUUGUUUUUAGAAAUUGCCGUAUCCCGUAUCGCCGUACCGGUAUCGCCGUAUCAGUGUCGCCGUAUCUGUGCUUCGUAGCCUGCCGCCAGCGGGCAUGGCGGCAGCAGCACGUGUCCCGAGCUGCCGCCUCGCGUAGUGGCGGCAGGGCCCACCUCCUGUCUCCCGUUCCGAUCCAGCUCCCGCUCGGCAUAACUAAUCCAAUGCAUAGAGUAGCUCAUUGCUAAACCAAUGCAUGUGUCAAUAUGCAUUGCUAAACCAAUCCGGCGGCAGGUGCCACGUAUCGGCUGGCGCGCCUAUCAUCACGGUUGAGGGGGUCUUUUUUGUCAGUUUUAUCUAGAGGAGGUCUUUACUGGCAAUUUCAUUGAGCAGGUGAUCCUUUUCGACAAAAAAUUGAUUCUACCUCCGUUCCGGUUUAGACUACCCAUAAUAAAAGUAACAUAGAUAGUAGUAACAUUACACAUAUCUAGGUUAAAUAAAUGAUGUGGCAUGCAAUAAAUAAAUAAAGAGAUGAAAAUAGUCACAUAGCUAAUUACUACUAGUAUGCGUAACAUCACACAUAUCAAGGCAAGAUGUGUAUAUAGCCUAAUAAAUGAAGUGUUGUACAUACUAUGUUACUCCCUUCAUUCCACAAUGCAGUGCUUCCUCUAUCCACGUGCUUUGACUUUGACCGUAAAUUUAACUAUCAAGACCGAUUGCGGCGGGGGCAAAAAUUGUAUCAGUGAAUUCGUAUUUGAAAUAAGUUUUCAAUUAUAUUAUUUUUUCUCCCGUCGCAGUUGGUCUCGUUGGUUAAAUUUAUGAUCAAAGUUAGAUCUCGAGAAAUGCGAGCGCACUAUAUUUUGAAAUGGAGGAAGUAUUUUUCAUCAUAGAGGUAGUAACAUGAGAAGUGCAGGGCUGCAUGCAGCGGCAUAUGAACGCACGACAUCAACGAUGCAUGGCCCUUCGCGAUUCGCAUCAGCAUGGCAUGCUAGUUAAAGUAUAGGAAACGGUGGACUUCGGGAUGACAACGUAUAUGCAUAUUAGAUUGGAGCACGCUGGCAGUACGACCUGACAGUCUGACAUCAAGGAAGAACACUCUGCAAAUGGCAGUACAAGGCUGUUGCCUGAAGCACUGUGUAACGUAACCUUUUCUUCCUAUUUAAAUACCAUGCACCAAUAAGACAGAGUGCACACUCGCACACGUUGUACAGCAGGCGGGCAGCAAUGAAGCAGAGGGAAGGCCGAACGUGAAGAUAGACGACGUGGAGUUCUGUGGGACAGCUUUUCCCCUUUCCCCUGCUACAGUGACUGCCGGAUGGCGAAUUUGGCGAUUCUGCCGAUCUACUCUCCAAUCCUCAUCAUCUUCUUCCCUGAUCCCUGAUUCCAACAUCCACCUUCCUUUCCUUUAUCUUUCUGGUCGCGCAGAUCCACUACUGUGUCCUGAUCCAUCCCCAACUCCUUUCCCCUUCGUUUCUUCGAUCCUUCCGGUGAUUCUUCCAAUUCGCCGGUUCGGCGACUUCCUACGCGGCUUCUGGACACCUCCUUGCGAAUGGAGACUGGCUGUGUUGGUGUGGAUUUGGUGGAGUUGGAGAGGUGGAAGGCACGGGCGUCGCAAUUCGUCCACAGCUCGCAGAAUCCAGCGCGAAGCUUCAGGCUUUUGCGGGACAAGGUGGUGUCCUUGUUCGGGUUGGGGGACUUGCGGCUGCCAAUCAAGCAGGAUCGACGAAAACCAUAUCCUUGUUCCCUGACACCAGUGGCAUCAGAUGUGCAUGCUUGUGUGCGGGAAGAUACGAUUGAGGUGCAGCGACCCUGUUGUAUUGCUCCUGUUGUAUGUGUUGCCGGCGGCGUUGACGGCGCUGAUGACUAUUCCAUUGGUACGCUGGUUUUGCGACCUUGGCCGCCUGGUGACCUCAACCACCAGCCCCAGUGGAUUGGGCGACGCAGUGGGCGUGACGGCGAUGCACUUCCAUGGAGUGGUCAAAUCCUUGGAAAUUACAGAAAGCUUGUCUUCUUUGAUGGAAGUUUUAUCCCUGCUGUUUUUCUUUCUAUUCGACCUGUUGCUAUCUGCGUGAUACGGGAUGCCCUUUUUGUGAAAAGGCUUCAUGGGAAUUUAACCCAGGAAGGCAAGAUAAAGAAAUGUAUCACAAGGAGGGUUAAAAUGAGGACAUUUCCUACUGUUGUGAUGCCAUUGAACAAUGAAGUAUCAACCUUCAGGGAUGGCAGUGGACAGAUUAUUCUUGUCAGCUGGUGUGUUGUCUGUAGUAUGUUUAACCAUGGUACAGGAAGGGGGAGUCCACCCUUUGCUAAAAAGAAGAAAAUUAAAGGGGCUAAUGGUACAAUAGUGGAUUACUCUGUUGCUGAACAAAUUGAUGCGAGAUCGGCGGCACCUCUUGACGGUGACCGCCAGGCACAAUGAAUAUUAUGUGUUUGAACUGUCGGGGUUGUGGGCGGCCCGAGACAGUUCGUGAAAUUAGUGACCUCGUUAGGUUGCAACGCCCGGGUCUGCUCUUUCUUUCGGAGACCAAGUUGACUGAGAAGAGAGCUCAAGAUCUUAGACGGAGAUUUGGCUUCAGUAAUGCUUUUGGAGUUAAGGCCAUUGGAUUAAGUGGAGGAUUGUGCCUUUAUUGGAAUAAUGAUUCUAAGGUGUCACUGAAAUCAUACAGUAAUUCACAUAUAGAUGUUAUGGUACAGAAUGACAAUGUUGGUGAUGGGGAUUGGAGGUUUACUGGAUUCUAUGGCGAUCCAGUGAGAUCUAAGAGGAAAAGAUGCUGGGAUUUAUUGAAGUUCAUGAGAAAGGAAUUUGAUAAUGCGUGGAUCUGUGCAGGUGACUUCAAUGAGGUCCUGCAUGCAUCGGAACAAAUAGGAGGCAAUGAAAGAUAGGAGUGGAAGAUGGAGGCCUUUAGAGAUACAGUUGAAUACUGCAGAUUUGAUGACUUGGGUUACUAUGGGACACCUUAUACAUGGGAUAACCGACAGCAUGGUGAUAGAAAUAUAAAAGUCAGACUUGACAGAGUGUUGGAAGAUGAUAAAUUUACAGAGUAUUUUGAUAAUACUUCUGUGAAUCAUGUGCAAUGUGGCGAAUCUGAUCAUUGUGCUUUGUUAAUUUCUGUAAGAAAAUCGGAAUGGAUUGAAGAGAACCAAGGAGGACGACCUUUUUACUUCGAGAAUGCAUGGACUAGGCAUGAUCGGUAUACUCAUAUAGUGGAAGAGGCCUGGCAAGGGGGUGCGAAUAAUAUGGAGGACAUCUACCAUGCUCUAGGUGCAGUUCGAGAGAAGCUGGAAAACUGGAACAGGACUGAAUUUGGUUCUGUAAAGAAGCAACUAAAGACUAUGCGGGCUCGGCUAAAUAAUUUAAGGGAACGAUCUCUUCGGUCUGGUCCAACUAAGGAGGAAAAGGAUUUAAUGAAUAGGAUUUCAGAAUUGCUAGCAAGGGAAGAGGCGAAUAGAGAAGCAACGUUCUAGAGCUCUUUGGCUUGCGGAGGGAGACCGCAACACUGGUUUCUUUCAAGCAAAAGCGAGAGAAAGAUCCAGAACUAAUAAAAUAAAGUCUAUUAGAAGAGAGGAUGGAUCAGUUGUGACCGCCCAGGCUGAUUUGGAAGCUGAGGCAAUCAACUUUUAUAAGAAUCUUUUUACAGCCCAAGUUGAAACUGAUCCGAGCUUGGUGACUAAUUGGGUGCAACAGAAGGUUGAUGAUGCAAUGAAUAUCAAGUUGUGUGAGCCAAUUACAGAUUAUGAAAUUGAGCAGGCCUUAUUCAUGAUGCAUCCGGACAGAUCUUCGGGGCCGGAUGGUUUCACAGCUGGUUUUUAUAUUCAUCACUGGAAUUUAUUGAAAGGUACGGUUUGUUCAGCGGUAAGGAAUUUUCUGGAGGGAGGUACUAUGCCUGAUAUUGUUAACUCGACUGUCUUAGUUCUCAUACCGAAAGGUAAGAAUCCGCAGGAAUUUUCUCAGUACCGUCCAAUCUCUCUGUGCAAUGUGCCUUACAAAAUUGCCUCGAAAGUACUAGCUCUAAGAUUGAGACCUUUUCUUGAGGGGUUAAUCUCGGAAGAACAAAGCGCGUUCGUUCCCGGCCGUCUCAUUACGGACAAUGUGUUACUAGCCUAUGAAUGCAUCCAUUAUUUGAAGAGGAAAAGAGGAAAAGCUGCUGCAUGUGCGGUAAAGUUGGACAUGGCGAAAGCCUAUGAUCGUGUGGAGUGGUCAUAUUUGAGAGCAAUUAUGGGUAAGUUGGGUUUUGCUGUACAAUGGAUCGAUAGAGUUAUGGCCUAUGUGGAGACUGUUUCUUUCUCUGUUAGAGUUAAUGGCAACUAUUCUGAAGUUUUCAAGCCAACAAAGGGUAUCAGACAAGGCGAUCCUAUUUCGCCAUAUUUAUUCCUUCUCUGUGCUGAAGGCUUUUCUUGUAUGUUAAAGAAUUAUGGUGUAGGACAUUUAUCAAAGGGGGUGAGAGUUGGUAUCCAUUGCUCUUGGAUAUCUCACUUGUUGUUUGCUGAUGACUGUUUGGUAUUUACACAAGCAACAACGGAGGGUGCUCACAGAUUGCAAGAUGUGUUGGAACAAUAUCGUAUGGGUUCCGGGCAAAUGGUGAAUAAAAACAAAUCGGCUAUAUUUUUCAGCGGCAAUGCAGACGAGGCUAUGAAAACGGCAGUUCAUCAAAAUACGGAGAUUCCGACGGAAGCCUUGGUGGAAAGAUAUUUGGGACUUCCUACGGCUGUGGGAAGAUCCUCUGAUCAGCACUUUGAUCAUAUUGUGGCUACUAUUAAGAAACUUGUUACAAGUUGGGCGCCAAAAUUACUAAACAGUGCAGGCCGUGAGGUAUUGAUUAAAUCAAUUUGCCAAGCUAUUCCGACAUAUUCCAUGAGCUGUUUCAAGCUUUCUAAGAAGUUGUGUAAAAAGGUAAUAGCAGCAAUUGCCCGGUUCUGGUGGGGGGGAGAUGAGACCAAAAGGAAGAUGCAUUGGGUCAAAUGGAAGGAUCUCACCAUACCCAAAGUAUGCGGUGGCAUGGGUUUCAAAGACUUCGUCCUCUUCAAUAAAGCUAUGCUAGCGAAGCAAGGGUGGCGUUUGAUUUGUUACCCGGAGACGUUGUGUGCACGGGUGUUGAAAGGAAAAUAUUUUAAUGAUGGCAAUUUUAUGACUGUAGGGUGUAAGAGAAAUUCCUCACAAACAUGGAGGGCAAACAUUUCUGGCAGGGAAGCCUUGGAGUUGGGCCUCAUUCGACGCAUUGGCGAUGGAUCAUCAACAAGAAUUUGGGAGGACCCAUGGAUCCCUACUAAUCCUGGGCUAAAGCCUAUUGUUAAGUUGCAAUCAUCAGGAAUAAAUUUGGUGGAAGAAUUAUUAAACCCGGACUCGGGUGAGUGGAAUGAGGAGUUCGUGAAAGCAAAGUUUAUGCCAGUUGAUGCUCGGGCUAUUUUGCAAAUUCCGACUGCCCGAUUGGCAGAAGAUGGAUGGGCAUGGCAUUUGGAGAGAAAUGGCAAUUUUUCAGUACGGUCAGCCUACCGAGCUCUUCUGGAAAUGAAUCACUCUAUCAGUUUAGCAUCCAGAUCGAAUGGCGACAAACAAUUGUUUUGGAAAAAGCGGAAAAUGCGAGUACCACCAAAAGUACGUAACUUCUGGUGGAGGGUCAUUAAAAAAUUUAUACCUUGUCGAGCGAUUCUCCAUGAGAGGCAUAUGGAUUGUAUCUCAUUCUGUCAAACAUGUGGUAGAGAGGAGACCAUCAAACAUGCCUUGUUCGACUGUACAUGGGCCAAAUUGUUCUGGCAGGAGUUGAAGAAUCUCACUUCAGUCAAGGUGCCGGAGCUUCACCCAGAUUUUUGGACUGUAGAUCUGAUUGAUAGCAGCAAAGUUUCUUCUGAAGAUGCGGCUGUUAUAUUAUGUGGUGGAUGGGCUGUAGGAUCUGAGCGGAAUGCUCGACACCAUGAAAAGAGAGUAGGAUCCGUGUCUAAAUCUGUGAAGUGGACUGCUGAUAUUGCCUAUGAUCUUACACUAACAGGACAGGCUUCAGGGAAGCAACACCAUAAGGAGCGGCCAAGGUGGAAACCUCCAGCUUCUGGCAUUAUUAAGCUCAAUGUGGAUGCUAGCUUCUCGCCAAACAAUAAUGAGGGAGCUACAGGUGUGAUUGUUCGUGAUCAUUGUGGUGCCUUACUACGGGGCCAAGCCAUCUGGUAUGGUCAGACGGCCAAUGUUUUAAUUAUGGAGGCCCUUGCCGUACGUGAUGGUGUGAGACUCGCCUGUGAUAUUGGUCUAUCAAAGGUUAUCGUUGAGUCUGAUGCCUAGGAGGUUGUUAAGCUAUGGAGGGACUGAAACCAAAAUCGUUCUGUCAUAGCUCUGAUACUCCAGGAAAUAGAAGAGCUCAGCGGGAGUUUGCAGUCUUUCCAAUUAAAUUUUGUUGGUCGUGAGGCUAACGAAGGUGCACAUUUGUGUGCUAAGCAGGCAACAUCAACUAGGAGAAAAUGUCUUUGGAUAAAUUAUGUACCACGUUUUUUAGUUGUUUGUCUGUAGAACGAUUGUAAUCCCGUUGUUUAAUGAAUGGAAGCUCUUAUUUCACAAAAAAAAAAGGCCGAACGUGACGGACGCCGAAGGACCGGCUGCAAAAUAAACGUAUUAUUAUUUAGAAAAGACUAUUUGUUCACCAAGUGGGCAGCGUGUCGCUUGUUUUUUCGUUGGGCAAGAUGACCAAUGCGUGCAAC